ACAUCCAGAGAACUUAGCAGAGAUGCUUUGGUGCCUUCGGGAACUCUGAGACAGGUGCUGCAUGGCUGUCGUCAGCUCGUGUUGUGAAAUGUUGGGUUAAGUCCCGNAACGAGCGCAACCCUUAUCCUUUGUUGCCAGCGGUUCGGCCGGGAACUCAAAGGAGACUGCCGGUGAUAAACCGGAGGAAGGUGGGGAUGACGUCAAGUCAUCAUGGCCCUUACGGCCAGGGCUACACACGUGCUACAAUGGCGCAUACAAAGAGAAGCGACCUCGCGAGAGCAAGCGGACCUCAUAAAGUGCGUCGUAGUCCGGAUUGGAGUCUGCAACUCGACUCCAUGAAGUCGGAAUCGCUAGUAAUCGUAGAUCAGAAUGCUACGGUGAAUACGUUCCCGGGCUUGUACACACCGCCCGUCACACCAUGGGAGUGGGUUGCAAAAGAAGUAGGUAGCUUAACCUUCGGGAGGGCGCUUACCACUUUGUGAUUCAUGACUGGGGUGAAGUCGUAACAAGGUAAGCGUAGCGAG
RNAcentral lists this ribosomal RNA (524 nucleotides) under uncultured bacterium. Its description in RNAcentral is "bacterial SSU rRNA". It matches the Rfam family "Bacterial small subunit ribosomal RNA", at positions 984 to 1509 of the family's 1533-position model. The record is from RNAcentral.